Molecule: non-coding RNA, 312 nt
Organism: Pelobates cultripes (western spadefoot toad)
Lineage: Eukaryota; Metazoa; Chordata; Amphibia; Anura; Pelobatidae
Source: the annotation of a GenBank genome assembly
UUCCCAUUCUGUCUGGUGCAGACUAUAUUAAUCGAUCCCUUGUGAUGCUCUAAUGCUCAGUGAAGGAGUCAGAGCACAGCUGCCUGUAUUCCUAGCCUGUGCUCUGACUUCCUCAGUGCCGCACCAUAAGCAGGUGGUCUGCACUCCACCACUGGACCACCAGGAAUUCUUUAGUAAGGCUACUGGACCACCAAGGAUUUGUCAUUAAUGGAACACUACAAACACCAUAACCACUACAGCUUUAUUUAGGUCCACUGGGCACCACUCAACUUCCAUGUCCUCAGAGCUGGAAGUUCCUCAGGAACUUCCGUU